Mus musculus (house mouse) is the source of this 114-nucleotide non-coding RNA. The record is from Rfam. Lineage: Eukaryota; Metazoa; Chordata; Mammalia; Rodentia; Muridae.
CUGGGCUAUGGAGACAUGUAUCCCAAGACGUGGUCUGGGAUGCUGGUUGGGGCACUGUGUGCCCUGGCUGGUGUGCUGACCAUUGCCAUGCCCGUGCCUGUCAUUGUCAACAAC